GAAAAUCCAAUUGGUUUGGCUCAUGCUACAGUUGGCUGUCUAGUCUGCUAAUCAUAGCUCUUCUCUUGAUUGGAGUCACGUAUGUCCAUCUUACUUGGAUGAAAAGGAGAUCAGUUAACACAAGUCAGAGGCUGACUGCCUCCAGAAGAAUGGACUUUAAGGAUGAGGGUGAAAUUGUUUAUACAGAACUAAAUCUUCAUAUGCGUAGCAAAAAUCAAGAGUAAGAAUACCCAACAGACUCCAAGAACUUCUACCAGGAGCAUAAAAUUUCAAGAUUUACUUUUUAUGGAUUUGAAACAAAUAAACCUGGAAAAUAAUUGUGCCAUUAUUUUAUUUUUAAUUUAUUUUAUUGUUUGUUUUCUACAUUGUAAGAAACAUAUUAUUGCUAAUACACACAUAAAAAUAAUACGAAUGCUUAAUCAACAAUAAAGAUCUCUUAUAGUUUUGGAAGUUGGUUGCUGAUAAAGGAGAGAACUAUAAUGCCUCGUACACACGGCCAGACUUUUGACUGCAAAAGUCAGCCGUGAUCUCCACAGAAGUCCGACGGACAGAAAGAGAACAGAUUCUCUAUCUAAGGUCCGUCAGACUUCUGAGAAAAAAAGUCAGAUGGAGGCUACACACGGCCGGACUU
Molecule: long non-coding RNA, 631 nt
Organism: Rana temporaria (common frog)
Lineage: Eukaryota; Metazoa; Chordata; Amphibia; Anura; Ranidae
Exons: 3
Source: RefSeq, a predicted model, not a curated record